UUUCCUACGGGGCGCAGCAGGGAGGAAUAUUGGUCAAUGGGCGCAAGCCUGAACCAGCCAAGUCGCGUGAGGGAAGACGGCCCUACGGGUUGUAAACCUCUUUUGCCGGGGAGCAAGCCUGAGCACGUGUGCCCAGGCGGAGAGUACCCGGAGAAAAAGCAUCGGCUAACUCCGUGCCAGCAGCCGCGGUAAUACGGAGGAUGCGAGCGUUCUCCGGUUUUAUUGGGUUUAAAGGGUGCGUAGGCGGUCCGUUAAGUCAGCGGUAAAAUUGCGGGGCUCAACCCCGACGAGCCGUUGAAACUGGG
This 305-nucleotide ribosomal RNA is filed under the name uncultured bacterium. RNAcentral describes it as "bacterial SSU rRNA". It matches the Rfam family "Bacterial small subunit ribosomal RNA", at positions 335 to 637 of the family's 1533-position model. The record is from RNAcentral.